Molecule: long non-coding RNA, 1324 nt
Filed under: Phasianus colchicus (ring-necked pheasant)
Lineage: Eukaryota; Metazoa; Chordata; Aves; Galliformes; Phasianidae
Description: lncRNA (ENSPCLG00000012613.1)
Source: RNAcentral
AUGAUGCCAGCUAGCCAAACUCAAUCCACCGGGUUGUUCGAAAAGGAAGGGAGAGGAGACAGCUCAGUGCUCUGUCGCUGCGGCUCAGCUGGAGCAGACAGGGACAGGGAUGCUGAAGCACAGCUCUCUCCUCCCUGUGACUGCAUCAGGCAGCCUCACCAGAACCUCCCAUCUGUGUGUCUGCAGGGCCACGGACAGCCUCAGCCCUCCCUCAAGGUAAGGCUUUGCAAGAUCUGUCUCUGGGGAGAAAAGAUAUACUGUGUUGUACUAUCUCCAAGUAAUUCCUGCAUUUACAAGAAUAGCUGUCGGAUUUGUAGUUUAUAAAAAAUUUUCCUAAUUGGGAUUGGUGCCCCAGUUUCUUUUGCCAUGCAGCCAUCCCAGUGGUGGUUUGGCACCACAGAGAAAUCGGAGUGGGGUUAGAAAGUGCUCCACCUGGCCUCAAUGCAGAGCCAAACGCUGAUCGCAGCUUCUCUCAUGCUCUCCUCUCUGAAAGUCCUGAUUCUGCUCCUGCAAGACCUGAAGGGUCAGCCUUCUUUCAUCUGCAGGGUGCUGAGACGGAGGAAACCAGCAGUGUCUGCCCUCAGAAGGGGCAGCUUAGCAGCUGCUGCCUCUGGUGUGCCUUGCUCUGCCCUGGGGUAGUUCUCCAGGCAACUCUUUGCUUUCCUUCUGCCUCAGGAGUUGCUCUCACAGAAGUCAACGUCAGGUUCUUCCUUCUGCCUUUGCUUAUUCUAAGGUAAAUCAGAGUGAGGUGCAAGCAUUUGUGACUUAAUGGAAAUGAAUGCAAAGGAGGCAGCCUUGCAUUUGUCAUCAUGUGAUAACUAUUUCAUGUUAAAUGGCAACCAAUUAAAUAGGUGUAGAGGAGCACCAAAACAUCUGGCUUUCACUGAGCACUGGGAGAAAUGUGUUUGAAGGAGAACAAUUCCACAUGUUGGAAAGCAGCAGAGAAUGUAAGCAUGAGGAGCUAGAGGAAGUAGAAGAAGGACUGUGGUAUGCUAUACUUUGAAACGUUUACAGCCAUUGGAUUAGGACUUCUUUUAACUGUUACAAGGUUUAUGUUACUACAUAAAAGAUACUGAUUAUUAUCAAACUUCCUUAAAAAAAAAAAAAAAAAAAAAGUGAUCUUUUUCCUGGGAUUAGAAUAUGGCGUGGUUUGAGGUCUCUACAAUACAGCUCACGUUCUGGUUAUUGUCAUGUUACUGUAGUGUUCAGUACCUUUUUUUCUGGUAUGGUUGAACAGCCACCCUCUGAUGGAGGAAAAAUUUGCACCUUGUUUUUGCAGUCAGUGUGGAACAGCAGUGGGAGGCAGAAAUAGGGGGAGCUGACU